Molecule: ribosomal RNA, 1452 nt
Filed under: Escherichia coli
Lineage: Bacteria; Pseudomonadati; Pseudomonadota; Gammaproteobacteria; Enterobacterales; Enterobacteriaceae
Also listed under: 1 other name
Description: bacterial SSU rRNA
Rfam family: Bacterial small subunit ribosomal RNA
Source: RNAcentral
UUCGCUGACGAGUGGCGGACGGGUGAGUAAUGUCUGGGAAACUGCCUGAUGGAGGGGGAUAACUACUGGAAACGGUAGCUAAUACCGCAUAACGUCGCAAGACCAAAGAGGGGGACCUUCGGGCCUCUUGCCAUCGGAUGUGCCCAGAUGGGAUUAGCUUGUUGGUGGGGUAACGGCUCACCAAGGCGACGAUCCCUAGCUGGUCUGAGAGGAUGACCAGCCACACUGGAACUGAGACACGGUCCAGACUCCUACGGGAGGCAGCAGUGGGGAAUAUUGCACAAUGGGCGCAAGCCUGAUGCAGCCAUGCCGCGUGUAUGAAGAAGGCCUUCGGGUUGUAAAGUACUUUCAGCGGGGAGGAAGGGAGUAAAGUUAAUACCUUUGCUCAUUGACGUUACCCGCAGAAGAAGCACCGGCUAACUCCGUGCCAGCAGCCGCGGUAAUACGGAGGGUGCAAGCGUUAAUCGGAAUUACUGGGCGUAAAGCGCACGCAGGCGGUUUGUUAAGUCAGAUGUGAAAUCCCCGGGCUCAACCUGGGAACUGCAUCUGAUACUGGCAAGCUUGAGUCUCGUAGAGGGGGGUAGAAUUCCAGGUGUAGCGGUGAAAUGCGUAGAGAUCUGGAGGAAUACCGGUGGCGAAGGCGGCCCCCUGGACGAAGACUGACGCUCAGGUGCGAAAGCGUGGGGAGCAAACAGGAUUAGAUACCCUGGUAGUCCACGCCGUAAACGAUGUCGACUUGGAGGUUGUGCCCUUGAGGCGUGGCUUCCGGAGCUAACGCGUUAAGUCGACCGCCUGGGGAGUACGGCCGCAAGGUUAAAACUCAAAUGAAUUGACGGGGGCCCGCACAAGCGGUGGAGCAUGUGGUUUAAUUCGAUGCAACGCGAAGAACCUUACCUGGUCUUGACAUCCACGGAAGUUUUCAGAGAUGAGAAUGUGCCUUCGGGAACCGUGAGACAGGUGCUGCAUGGCUGUCGUCAGCUCGUGUUGUGAAAUGUUGGGUUAAGUCCCGCAACGAGCGCAACCCUUAUCCUUUGUUGCCAGCGGUCCGGCCGGGAACUCAAAGGAGACUGCCAGUGAUAAACUGGAGGAAGGUGGGGAUGACGUCAAGUCAUCAUGGCCCUUACGACCAGGGCUACACACGUGCUACAAUGGCGCAUACAAAGAGAAGCGACCUCGCGAGAGCAAGCGGACCUCAUAAAGUGCGUCGUAGUCCGGAUUGGAGUCUGCAACUCGACUCCAUGAAGUCGGAAUCGCUAGUAAUCGUGGAUCAGAAUGCCACGGUGAAUACGUUCCCGGGCCUUGUACACACCGCCCGUCACACCAUGGGAGUGGGUUGCAAAAGAAGUAGGUAGCUUAACCUUCGGGAGGGCGCUUACCACUUUGUGAUUCAUGACUGGGGUGAAGUCGUAACAAGGUAACCGUAGGGGAACCUGCGGUUGGAUCACCUCCUUA